UUGAAAGGGAAACGAUUGAAGUCAGUCGUACCGGCGGGUAAUCAGCCUUUUGGGUGUGAUUAUGUGGAGUGUGAGGAGUUAAACACCCUCAUCUUUGCAUAUUCGUGCACUUUGGGUGUACUUGCUCGUGUGGUAGGUUAACAUCAAUUUUGAUCGUCAUAAAAUGAUUGGAGGAAUGUAGCUUCGAUCUCGUAUUGAAGUGUUAUAGGCUUCGGUAGAUGUGAUGAUUGGGAUUGAGGAUUGCAACGGAUUCCUUCGGGGCUACCUGUCUGAUCUCUGAAAGUUGCUCUGGUGCUGAAAGCUUGCUUAUAGUAUCAAAGUUGACGUUCAACAGGUUAGAACGGGAUAAAUUCGUUAAGGAUGUUGACGUA
Molecule: ribosomal RNA, 371 nt
Filed under: uncultured Glomeromycotina
Lineage: Eukaryota; Fungi; Glomeromycota
Description: LSU rRNA
Source: RNAcentral